AUUGAACGCUGGCGGCAGGCUUAACACAUGCAAGUCGAGCGGGGUGAUGGUGCUUGCACUAUCACUUAGCGGCGGACGGGUGAGUAAUGCUUAGGAAUCUGCCUAUUAGUGGGGGACAACAUCUCGAAAGGGAUGCUAAUACCGCAUACGUCCUACGGGAGAAAGCAGGGGAUCACUUGUGACCUUGCGCUAAUAGAUGAGCCUAAGUCGGAUUAGCUAGUUGGUGGGGUAAAGGCCUACCAAGGCGACGAUCUGUAGCGGGUCUGAGAGGAUGAUCCGCCACACUGGGAUUGAGAAACGGCACAGGCUCCUACGGGAGGCAGUAGUGUGGAAUAUUGGACAGUUGGGGGAACCCUGAUCCAGCCAUGCCGCGUGUGGGAAGAAGGCCUUAUGGUUGUAAAGCACUUUAAGCGAGGAGGAGGCUCUUUUGGUUAAUACCCAAGAUGAGUGGACGUUACUCGCAGAAUAAGCACCGGCUAACUCUGUGCCAGCAGCCGCCGUAA
RNAcentral lists this ribosomal RNA (503 nucleotides) under uncultured bacterium. RNAcentral describes it as "partial 16S ribosomal RNA". It matches the Rfam family "Bacterial small subunit ribosomal RNA", at positions 30 to 523 of the family's 1533-position model. The record is from RNAcentral.